Molecule: ribosomal RNA, 506 nt
Filed under: uncultured bacterium
Lineage: Bacteria
Description: partial 16S ribosomal RNA
Rfam family: Bacterial small subunit ribosomal RNA
Source: RNAcentral
AGUGAACGCUGGCGGUAGGCCUAACACAUGCAAGUCGAACGGCAGCACAGGAGAGCUUGCUCUCUGGGUGGCGAGUGGCGGACGGGUGAGGAAUACAUCGGAAUCUACUCUGUCGUGGGGGAUAACGUAGGGAAACUUACGCUAAUACCGCAUACGACCUACGGGUGAAAGCAGGGGACCUUCGGGCCUUGCGCGAUUGAAUGAGCCGAUGUCGGAUUAGCUAGUUGGCGGGGUAAAGGACCACCAAGGCGACGAUCCGUAGCUGGUCUGAGAUGAUGAGCAGCCACACUGGAACGGAGACACGGUCCAGACUCCUACGGGAGGCAGCAGUGGGGAAUAUUGGACAAGGGGAGCAAGCCUGAUCCAGCCAUACCGCGUGGGUGAAGAAGGCCUUCGGGUUGUAAAGCCCUUUUGUUGGGAAAGAAAUCCAGCUGGCUAAUACCCGGUUGGGAUGACGGUACCCAAAGAAUAAGCACCGGCUAACUUCGUGCCAGCAGCCGCCGUAA